GUCGAACGGCAGCGGGGAGGAGCUUGCUUCUCUGCCGGCGAGUGGCGAACGGGUGAGUAAUACAUCGGAACGUGUCGAGAAGAGGGGGAUAACCACCCGAAAGGGUGGCUAAUACCGCAUAAAUUCUGAGGAAGAAAGCUGGGGACCUAGGAAUAGGCCUAGCGCUUUUUGAGCGGCCGAUGUCGGAUUAGCUAGUUGGUGAGGUAAAGGCUCACCAAGGCGAAGAUCUGUAGCGGGUCUGAGAGGAUGAUCCGCCACACUGGGACUGAGACACGGCCCAGACUCCUACGGGAGGCAGCAGUGGGGAAUUUUGGACAAUGGGGGCAACCCUGAUCCAGCCAUGCCGCGUGUAUGAAGAAGGCCUUAGGGUUGUAAAGUACUUUUGUUAGGGAAGAAAAGUCAGCUGUGAAUAAUGGCUGAUACUGACGGUACCUAAAGAAUAAGCACCGGCUAACUACGUGCCAGCAGCCGCGGUAAUACGUAGGGUGCGAGCGUUAAUCGGAAUUAUUGGGCGUAAAGCGAGUGUAGACGGUUAUUUAAGCCAGAUGUGAAAUACCCGAGCCUAACUUGGGAGGUGCAUAUGGAACUGGGUAGCUAGAGUGUGUCAGAGGGAGGUAGAACUCCACGUGUAGCAGUGAAAUGCGUAGAGAUGUGGAAGAAUACCGAUGGCGAAGGCAG
RNAcentral lists this ribosomal RNA (678 nucleotides) under uncultured Neisseriales bacterium. RNAcentral describes it as "bacterial SSU rRNA". It matches the Rfam family "Bacterial small subunit ribosomal RNA", at positions 61 to 724 of the family's 1533-position model. Lineage: Bacteria; Pseudomonadati; Pseudomonadota; Betaproteobacteria; Neisseriales. The record is from RNAcentral.